CAGCAGCCGCGGUAAUACGUAGGGUGCAAGCGUUAAUCGGAAUUACUGGGCGUAAAGCGUGCGCAGGCGGUUAUAUAAGACAGAUGUGAAAUCCCCGGGCUCAACCUGGGAACUGCAUUUGUGACUGUAUAGCUAGAGUACGGCAGAGGGGGAUGGAAUUCCGCGUGUAGCAGUGAAAUGCGUAGAUAUGCGGAGGAACACCGAUGGCGAAGGCAAUCCCCUGGGCCUGUACUGACGCUCAUGCACGAAAGCGUGGGGAGCAAACAGGAUUAGAUACCCCUGUAGUCCCUGUCCUUAUACA
RNAcentral lists this ribosomal RNA (301 nucleotides) under uncultured bacterium. Its description in RNAcentral is "partial 16S ribosomal RNA". It matches the Rfam family "Bacterial small subunit ribosomal RNA", at positions 509 to 809 of the family's 1533-position model. The record is from RNAcentral.